Molecule: long non-coding RNA, 351 nt
Organism: Mustela lutreola (European mink)
Lineage: Eukaryota; Metazoa; Chordata; Mammalia; Carnivora; Mustelidae
Exons: 3
Source: RefSeq, a predicted model, not a curated record
GUCACCCUAAAAACACGCCCUCAUCCGUCCCUGGAUAACUCCACUGUCCCCACAGUCCUGAGCCCUGGCCACCCUGGGAGUGACUCUGCUGGGGAGCGUGAGGGAGAAUAUGCAGAAUGCGGCCACCGGGCCAUGCGGUAGUGUUCGUUUCACGGCCCAGGGAACGCCGAGCUGUCCUCCAGCGGAGCGGCUGUCCCCGCCCGGGAUUUUAUGUAUUUAUUUGGAAGACGGAGAUAGGUGAGCACAGGCAGAGGGAGGGGCAGACUCCCCACUCCCAGGACCCCCAGAUCAUGAUCUGAGCCGAAGGCAGAGGCUUCACCGGCUGAGCCACCCCGGAGUCCCUGAUUUGAA